AUGGGACCACUCGAUGCAUCGCUCGACGCUGAGCAUUUCCAUAGGCGGAGCGCCGCGAGAGGUGGCUGGAGCUGCCGGCAGUCUUCGUCGGGGCAACCAUCAUCUCCUCUGCCCAGUGCCCCGUCGAGGAGGAAGAAGAAGGAACGAGGAGGAGAUAUAGAUAGGCGCAGGCCCCACACAUCGGCGACCCUGACGGCCGGCCCCGCCCCGCCCCCGCUGACAUCGUUAAGUGGAGACGUACUCCGCGGAGUACGCCUUCCCUUAACCGAAAGCGCAUUCUGCUUCUUCUUUGGGCCAGAAUGCACUUUCCUCUCUGGAAAGCGUAUUUCUGAGAAAGGCGCGUUCUGUUUUAAUUGCCAGGGACCUGUUUGUAGAAGUUAUUUUUGCAGAUUAGUCCCUAGGCUUUAA
Molecule: ribosomal RNA, 408 nt
Filed under: Triticum aestivum (bread wheat)
Lineage: Eukaryota; Viridiplantae; Streptophyta; Magnoliopsida; Poales; Poaceae
Description: partial small subunit ribosomal RNA
Source: RNAcentral